This 253-nucleotide ribosomal RNA is filed under the name uncultured bacterium. Its description in RNAcentral is "partial 16S ribosomal RNA". It matches the Rfam family "Bacterial small subunit ribosomal RNA", at positions 524 to 776 of the family's 1533-position model. The record is from RNAcentral.
UACGAAGGGGGCUAGCGUUGUUCGGAAUUACUGGGCGUAAAGCGUAUGCAGGCGGAUCUUUAAGUCAGGGGUGAAAUCCUGAGGCUCACCCUCAGAACUGCCUUUGAUACUGGAGAUCUUGAGUCCGGGAGAGGUUAGUGGAACUGCGAGUGUAGAGGUGAAAUUCGUAGAUAUUCGCAAGAACACCAGUGGCGAAGGCGGCUAACUGGCCCGGUACUGACGCUGAGAUACGAAAGCGUGGGGAGCAAACAGG